This 971-nucleotide ribosomal RNA is filed under the name Salmonella enterica. Its description in RNAcentral is "partial 23S ribosomal RNA". It matches the Rfam family "Bacterial large subunit ribosomal RNA", at positions 711 to 1598 of the family's 2925-position model. The record is from RNAcentral. Lineage: Bacteria; Pseudomonadati; Pseudomonadota; Gammaproteobacteria; Enterobacterales; Enterobacteriaceae.
AGACCCGAAACCCGGUGAUCUAGCCAUGGGCAGGUUGAAGGUUGGGUAACACUAACUGGAGGACCGAACCGACUAAUGUUGAAAAAUUAGCGGAUGACCUGUGGCUGGGGGUGAAAGGCCAAUCAAACCGGGAGAUAGCUGGUUCUCCCCGAAAGCUAUUUAGGUAGCGCCUCGUGAAUUCAUCUCCGGGGGUAGAGCACUGUUUCGGCCAGGGGGCCAUCCCGGCUUACCAAUCCGAUGCAAACUGCGAAUACCGGAGAAUGUUAUCACGGGAGACACACGGCGGGUGCUAACGUCCGUCGUGAAGAGGGAAACAACCCAGACCGCCAGCUAAGGUCCCAAAGUCAUGGUUAAGUGGGAAACGAUGUGGGAAGGCCCAGACAGCCAGGAUGUUGGCUUAGAAGCAGCCAUCAUUUAAAGAAAGCGUAAUAGCUCACUGGUCGAGUCGGCCUGCGCGGAAGAUGUAACGGGGCUAAACCAUGCACCGAAGCUGCGGCAGCGAACGUAUCACCCAAGACAACUUUGCACAGUUGACGAUUGACGGAGCGAAGCGACGUCAAAGCGUUUUACAACGUCGAGUUGGCUUAGGGAUACGUUCGUUGGGUAGGGGAGCGUUCUGUAAGCCGUUGAAGGUGUGUCGUGAGGCAUGCUGGAGGUAUCAGAAGUGCGAAUGCUGACAUAAGUAACGAUAAAGCGGGUGAAAAGCCCGCUCGCCGGAAGACCAAGGGUUCCUGUCCAACGUUAAUCGGGGCAGGGUGAGUCGACCCCUAAGGCGAGGCCGAAAGGCGUAGUCGAUGGGAAACGGGUUAAUAUUCCCGUACUUGGUGUUACUGCGAAGGGGGGACGGAGAAGGCUAUGUUGGCCGGGCGACGGUUGUCCCGGUUUAAGCGUGUAGGCUGACUUUCCAGGCAAAUCCGGAGAGUCAAGGCUGAGGCGUGACGACGAGGCACCACGGUGCUGAAGCAACAAAU